CUUCGCCCCGUCCCGUCCGCGCAGCGCGUCCGGCCCGCCCGCAGGCCAGCUUCUCUCGGGAGCCCCCACCCAGGCGCAUGGCUCCAUGAAGCAAGAGGAGGAGGCAGAGCGCGAGAGGUCCCGUCCGCCCCAGCCGCGUCUGGGCCAGGAUAAAAGCAAAACCAUAUUCCUGCUGCUGUCAGUUAUGAUGCACUGAGAAAACUUCAGAGACCUAAACUUUUUCCAGAGAAGAGAAGCUUUACUGGUGUUCCAGCCCUAAGCAACCAUCUUUCCUGUGAAAAAUUCCCUCUCGUACUUUAGUUCUGUGGAUCCAAAAUUUAUAGCAUUCUUCUACCACCACAGGGGCUCAUAUGACAUUAACAGACAAGACACUUUUCAGAAAGACAG
This 387-nucleotide long non-coding RNA is filed under the name Homo sapiens (human). RNAcentral's name for it is "non-protein coding NUTM2B-AS1:47". The record is from RNAcentral. Lineage: Eukaryota; Metazoa; Chordata; Mammalia; Primates; Hominidae.